This 330-nucleotide ribosomal RNA is filed under the name uncultured bacterium. RNAcentral's name for it is "bacterial SSU rRNA". It matches the Rfam family "Bacterial small subunit ribosomal RNA", at positions 568 to 898 of the family's 1533-position model. The record is from RNAcentral.
UCCGUAGGCGGUGUGGCAAGUCGGUAGUGAAAUCUCUCGGCUUAACUGAGAGGCUGCUGCCGAAACUGCCAUGCUCGAGUGCGAGAGAGGCGAGUGGAAUUGCGGGUGUAGCGGUGAAAUGCGUAGAUAUCCGCAGGAACAUCCGAGGCGAAAGCGGCUCGCUGGAUCGCAACUGACGCUGAGGGACGAAAGCUAGGGGAGCAAGCAGGAUUAGAUACCCUGGUAGUCCUAGCCCUAAACCAUCAGGACUUGGGGUUUGCCCUGUACGGGGCAAGUCCCGGAGCUAACGCGUUAAGUCCUGCGCCUGGGGAGUACGGUCGCAAGGCUGAA